CCUACGGGAGGCAGCAGUGGGGAAUAUUGCACAAUGGGGGAAACCCUGAUGCAGCGACGCCGCGUUGGAGGAAGAAGGUCUUCGGAUUGUAAACUCCUGUUGUUGAGGAAUGAUAAUGACGGUACUCAACAAGGAAGUGACGGCUAACUACGUGC
This 155-nucleotide ribosomal RNA is filed under the name uncultured bacterium. Its description in RNAcentral is "partial 16S ribosomal RNA". It matches the Rfam family "Bacterial small subunit ribosomal RNA", at positions 338 to 508 of the family's 1533-position model. The record is from RNAcentral.